CGUAGGGUGCGAGCGUUAAUCGGAAUUACUGGGCGUAAAGCGUGCGCAGGCGGUUUUGUAAGACAGAUGUGAAGUCCCCGGGCUCAACCUGGGACCUGCAUUUGUGACUGCAAGGCUAGAGUACGGUAGAGGGGGAUGGAAUUCCGCGUGUAGCAGUGAAAUGCGUAGAUAUGCGGAGGAACACCGAUGGCGAAGGCAAUCCCCUGGACCUGUACUGACGCUCAUGCACGAAAGCGUGGGGAGCAAACAGGAUUAGAUACCCUGGUAGUCCACGCCCUAAACGAUGUCAACUGGUUGUUGGGUCUUCACUGACGUCAGUACGAAGCUAACGCGUGAAGUUCGACCGCCGUGGGACGUACGGCCGCAAGGUUG
RNAcentral lists this ribosomal RNA (372 nucleotides) under uncultured organism. RNAcentral describes it as "bacterial SSU rRNA". It matches the Rfam family "Bacterial small subunit ribosomal RNA", at positions 526 to 896 of the family's 1533-position model. The record is from RNAcentral.